CUUAUCAAAUCCUAAUAUAAUCAAACGAACUAAAAAACAUAACUGGACUUAUGUUCUAAGGAACACCAUAAGUACAAAGUUAUUAACGUAAGAAGUCUGACUUAUGUUAUAAAGAACAUCAAAAUGUAACAUUUCUUUAGAGAAAGUGGUUACUUAAAAAUAUUUAUAACGUAAACAAUACUUCGGUAAGUGGUUUUAAUUUACUAAUGUUGUCGAUUGUGCACAGUUUGUUGGUUAGUUGUGUGUGAGUGCUUAAGUAUUUUAAUUAUUUAAGAUGAAUAUUCAAAGAGGCAAGAAAUUCGUUGAAAUGGUGUUAUCCACUCAUCUGGAAAGCAAUGAAGAAAAUGUAAAUCAGCAGUCGGUUUUGAACACAGAGAACCUAGUAGUAGACGAUCCUAUACCGUCAACAUCAUCAGGUCAAGUCAGUAGUUUAACAUACUAUUCUGUACUUGACUUCUCUAGUGAUGACUCUGUACGAGAUCCAUGUUAUGAAUUACCGAGACUUCCAAUCACAUCGAGUUCAAGUACUUGUGAUGAAAUUUCAAUGAAUCUUAAUGUGUCUCCAAAAAAGAGUAUACGUACUAUAAAAAGAGAGAAACAAAAUACGUAACUUAGGACAGGCAUACAAAACUUUAAAGGGAAAUGUAUAUCAGAUCGCACUAUGCAAAAAAAAAAUUAAGAAAAAACAAACAAAAAAGGCCGCUGAGUUUGUUUCGCCAGUUCUUCUCAGGACUGUGGUUUUUUUGGAACCGGUGGUAGAGUUAACAUUGUUAUUUAUAUUUUGACAUUCAACAAGUGUGUUAUACUGACAUCUAAGUUGAAAUAAAUGAUUUUGAAUUUGAAAGAGUUUGCAGAAUGAAAUGUAAAGAACGUAUACCUUAACUGAUAGGCAUGCCAUAUUUACAGAAUAUUGGCAAAUGGGGUCAUAUGCAAAAAGAUCUGUAUACUUGGCGUCUUUAAUGGAAAUUCAAGAUAAAUCUAAGCAAAGAAUACGAGCUAUUGAACCUGAAAAGCAAAAGCUUAGAAUGAAGACAUAAAAAUACUUUUUUACUGUGCAUGGUAAACGUGAACCUGUCUGCCGAGGAUGUUUAAUGAAACCGUUAGAUGAAAGUGACAAUUUUAUAAAGACAGUUGCUAUGAAAA
This is a long non-coding RNA of Bombyx mori (domestic silkworm), 1143 nucleotides long. RefSeq lists it as uncharacterized. The transcript has 2 exons. The record is from RefSeq and is a predicted model, not a curated record. Lineage: Eukaryota; Metazoa; Arthropoda; Insecta; Lepidoptera; Bombycidae.